This 534-nucleotide ribosomal RNA is filed under the name uncultured bacterium. RNAcentral describes it as "bacterial SSU rRNA". It matches the Rfam family "Bacterial small subunit ribosomal RNA", at positions 777 to 1314 of the family's 1533-position model. The record is from RNAcentral.
AAUAGAUACCCCGGUAGUCCACGCCGUAAACGAUGGAUACUAGCUGUUCGUCCGCCUCGGCGGAUGAGUGGCUAAGCGAAAGUGAUAAGUAUCCCACCUGGGGAGUACGAACGCAAGUUUGAAACUCAAAGGAAUUGACGGGGGCCCGCACAAGCGGUGGAGCAUGUGGUUUAAUUCGAUGAUACGCGAGGAACCUUACCAAGGCUUAAAUGUAGAUUGACAGGACUGGAAACAGUUUUUUCUUCGGACAAUUUACAAGGUGCUGCAUGGUUGUCGUCAGCUCGUGCCGUGAGGUGUCAGGUUAAGUCCUAUAACGAGCGCAACCCUGUUGUUAGUUGCCAGCGAGUCAAGUCGGGAACUCUAACAAGACUGCCAGUGUAAACUGUGAGGAAGGUGGGGAUGACGUCAAAUCAUCACGGCCCUUACGCCUUGGGCUACACACGUGCUACAAUGGCCGGUACAGAGAGCAGCCACUGCGCGAGCAGGAGCGAAUCUAUAAAACCGGUCACAGUUCGGAUCGGAGUCUGCAACUCG